Molecule: RNA transcript, 2500 nt
Organism: Diospyros lotus (date-plum)
Lineage: Eukaryota; Viridiplantae; Streptophyta; Magnoliopsida; Ericales; Ebenaceae
Exons: 10
Source: RefSeq, a predicted model, not a curated record
GAGUCGUCACUGGGCCCCACGCCCUUCGAUCUUCCCGCAAUUUGGAGAGAGAGAAGACGGGCCAGUAAAGCCCUCUCCUCACUCCUGUUUCGUGCUCCAGCAAGCUGAAGGAGGAGGAGAAGAAGAAGAAGAAGAAGAAGAAGACAAUCGACGAAAUGGAUUGCAUAUACAAGAACUCUAACGCCCCCGUUGAGGCCAGAAUCAAAGACCUACUCUCCCGCAUGACUCUCCAGGAGAAGAUCGGCCAGAUGACCCAAAUCGACCGCCGCGUCACCACCCCUUUCGUCCUCCGCAACCUCUCCAUCGGCAGUAUUCUCAGUGCCGGCGGCGGCGGGCCAUUCGAGAAAGCGACGUCGUCUGAUUGGGCCGACAUGAUCGAUGCUUUCCAGAGGGCCGCGCUCGAGUCUCGCCUCAGUAUUCCGCUGCUCUACGGGACCGACGCCGUCCAUGGCAACAACAACGUCUAUGGCGCCACCGUCUUUCCUCACAACGUUGGCCUCGGAGCCACCGGGGAUGCGGAAUUGGCUCGGAGGAUUGGGGUCGUUACUGCUCUUGAAGUUAGGGCUUCUGGUGCCAAUUACACUUUCGCCCCCUGUGUGGCUGUAUGCAGAGAUCCCAGAUGGGGAAGAUGCUAUGAGAGUUUCAGCGAAGAUACUGAGGUUGUCCGAAGGAUGACUUCUAUUGUUACAGGUUUGCAGGGAGAGCCACCCCAAGGACACCCAAAGGGCUAUCCUUUUGUUGCUGGAAGAAAGAAUGUUGUUGCAUGUGCCAAGCAUUUUGUUGGAGAUGGGGGCACUGACAAGGGGAUUAAUGAGGGGAACACAGCAACAUCAUAUGACGAGUUAGAGAGAAUCCAUAUGGCACCUUAUCUGGAUUGUUUUUCUCAAGGAGUUUGCACUGUCAUGGUAUCCUACUCUAGCUGGAACGGAAGGAAACUACAUUCUGACUAUUUUCUCCUUACACAAGUUUUGAAAGAAAAGCUGGGAUUUAAGGGUUUUGUCAUUUCUGAUUCUGAAGCACUUGACCGGCUUUCCCAUCCUUAUGGUUCUAACUAUCGAAACUGUGUCCUGUCAGCCAUCAAUGCUGGAAUUGACAUGGUGAUGGUGCCGUUUCGGUAUAAAUUAUUUCUGGAGGACUUGACAUGUUUAGUAGAAUCAGGCAAGAUUUCUAUUUCUAGAAUUGAUGAUGCUGUUGAAAGGAUCCUGCGAGUUAAAUUUAUUGCUGGACUUUUUGAGCAUCCCUUGACUGAUAGAUCAUUGCUAGAUACAGUUGGUUGCAAGCUGCAUAGAGAACUAGCACGUGAAGCAGUUCGCAAAUCCUUAGUUUUGUUGAAGAAUGGAAAGGAUCCAAGGAAACCAUUUCUUCCUUUAAACAGGAAUGCUGAAAAAAUUCUUGUUACUGGAACACAUGCUGAUAAUCUUGGAUAUCAGUGUGGAGGGUGGACAGCUACUUGGAUGGGAGACAGUGGCAGAAUUACGAUUGGUACAACAAUUUUGGAUGCCAUCAGAGAAGCAGUUGGUGAGAAAACAGAAGUGGUACAUGAGCUAAGACCAUCAGCAGACACAUUUGCAAGUCAAGAUUUCUCUUUUGCCAUUGUAGCUGUGGGCGAGGGUCCAUAUGCUGAAUCUAUUGGUGAUAACCCAGGGCUCAUUAUCCCUUUUGGUGGAACAGAAUUGAUUAGCUCAGUUGCUGACAAAAUACCCACAUUGGUGAUUUUGAUUUCCGGUAGGCCCCUGGUUAUAGAACCCUGGCUGUUGGAAAAGAUGGAUGCUCUGGUGGCAGCUUGGCUGCCUGGCAGUGAAGGAGGAGGAAUAGCAGAUGUAAUCUUUGGCGAUUACGAAUUCCAAGGAAAGCUUCCUGUGACAUGGUUUAGAAGGGUUGAACAACUGCCAGUGCAUGCCGGUGCGAAUUCUUCUGACACUCUAUUUCCGUUGGGCUUCGGCUUGACAAGCAAGGAGGAGGGCUUCUGACUCAACUAAUUAGUUUAUUAAAACUAAAUGCACACAAGCCUUCCAUGUUACCAGUAUAAAUCAGGGGUUAUUUGUCAGAGUUGUAAUAUAGAGGAGGAAUCAGGCAGCAUUGCAUUUGAAAUUCACAACUACUUUUGGGACUUCAAGAUUAUGUUGUAUGUUGAGUCUGCAAAAUCUUGGAGCCUCUUAGGUUGGUACUGGUUGUUGAUACAAAUGAACCUUUAAGCAUUGCAUUAAGGCAUGAAGAAUGUGGGAUUGGAGACUCAAAUUAGAUUGAAGAAUGAAGAAUUAAAGUCAAUAAAGAAUUAAAGUUCAUGAAGAAUUAAAGCCCAACUUGAGCAACCCAUAGAAGAUAUCAUUUGGAGAAGGCACAAACAUUAUUUUUAAUCCUAAUGAAAAUCAAAAAUUCAAUUGUAGAAAUUUAUUUUUUUUUUUAAAUAUUUGUUUUGUGAGUGCUUUAUUAGGUGUGUUUUUUAGCUAAAAUUUAUUUAACUAUUAGGUGUGUAUUAUAGCUAAAAUUUAUUUAACUU